Molecule: ribosomal RNA, 497 nt
Filed under: uncultured bacterium
Lineage: Bacteria
Description: partial 16S ribosomal RNA
Rfam family: Bacterial small subunit ribosomal RNA
Source: RNAcentral
GAUGAACGCUGGCGGCGUGCCUAAUACAUGCAAGUCGAGCGAACAGACGAGGAGCUUUCUCCUCUGACGUUAGCGGCGGACGGGUGAGUAACACGUGGAUAACCUACCUAUAAGACUGGGAUAACUUCGGGAAACCGGAGCUAAUACCGGAUAAUAUAUUGAACCGCAUGGUUCAAUAGUGAAAGACGGUUUUGCUGUCACUUAUAGAUGGAUCCGCGCCGCAUUAGCUAGUUGGUAAGGUAACGGCUUAACAAGGCGACGAUGCGUAGCCGACCUGAGAGGGUGAUCGGCCACACUGGAACUGAGACACGGUCCAGACUCCUACGGGAGGCAGCAGUAGGGAAUCUUCCGAAAUGGGCGAAAGCCUGACGGAGCAACGCCGCGUGAGUGAUGAAGGUCUUCGGAUCGUAAAACUCUGUUAUUAAGGAAGAACACAUGUGUAAGUAACUAUGCACGUCUUGACGGUACCUAAUCAGAAAGCCACGGCUAACUACGUG